UACGGAGGAUGCAAGCGUUAUCCGGAAUGAUUGGGCGUAAAGCGUCCGCAGGUGGCUGUGUAAGUCUGCUGUUAAAGAGUGAGGCUCAACCUCAUAAAGGCAGUGGAAACUACAUGGCUAGAGUGCGUUCGGGGCAGAGGGAAUUCCUGGUGUAGCGGUGAAAUGCGUAGAGAUCAGGAAGAACACCGGUGGCGAAGGCGGUCUGCUGGGCAGUUGCUGACACUGAGGCGCGACAGCGUGGGGAGCAAACAGG
Molecule: ribosomal RNA, 253 nt
Filed under: uncultured bacterium
Lineage: Bacteria
Description: partial 16S ribosomal RNA
Rfam family: Bacterial small subunit ribosomal RNA
Source: RNAcentral